RNAcentral lists this ribosomal RNA (1798 nucleotides) under human gut metagenome. RNAcentral's name for it is "bacterial LSU rRNA". It matches the Rfam family "Bacterial large subunit ribosomal RNA", at positions 1135 to 2925 of the family's 2925-position model. The record is from RNAcentral.
UAACAGCUCACUGGUCGAGUGGACAUGCGCCGACAAUACACGGGGCUAAGCUGGACACCGAAGCGGCGGGAUUUUAAUUCAUUAGAAUCGGUAGGGGAGCUUCCCAUGGGCGGAGAAGCCGGAGGGCGACCGACGGUGGAGCGCAUGGGAGUGAGAAUGCUGGCAUGAGUAGCGAGAGACGAGAGAGUAACUCGUCCGCCGUGAACCCGAGGUUUCCUGGGCAAGGCUAAUCCUCCCAGGGUCAGUCGGGGGCUAAGGCGAGGCCGGGAGGCGUAGCCGACGCGCAGCAGGCAGACAUUCCUGCACCGCGCACGCGGCGCUACGACCGACGGGGCGACGGAUGGGGGUGGCUCGGCGGGGUUCUGGACGUCCCCGUGAUGGAGCGCGGCCCGCGGACCAGGGAAAUCCGGUCCGCAUCAAGGGCGAGGCUCCGGACGAAGCGAUUGAGCGAAGCGAGUGAGCCCGAGGUCCCUAGAAAAACCCCUAGGCAGGCGCGUGCGCGCCCGUACCGCAAACCGACACAGGUGGGUGGGUAGAACAUACCGAGGCGAUCGGGUCAACCAUGGUCAAGGAACUCGGCACAAUGGCCCCGUAACUUCGGGAGAAGGGGUGCCCGCGCGUACGUGAACCGGCUUGCCCGGGGAGCGGAGGCGGGCCGCAGUGGAGAGGCCCAAGCGACUGUUUACCAAAAACACAGGACUCUGCAGAAGCCGCAAGGCGACGUAUAGGGUCUGACGCCUGCCCGGUGCCGGAAGGUCACGCGGAGGAGUUAGCCGAUUCGGCGAAGCCCCGAAGCCAAGCCCCGGUAAACGGCGGCCGUAACUAUAACGGUCCUAAGGUAGCGAAAUUCCUUGUCGGGUAAGUUCCGACCUGCACGAAAGGCGCAACGACUUGGGCGCUGUCUCGACCAUGGACCCGGUGAAAUUGCACUGGUCGUGAAGAUGCGACUUACCCGCGGAAGGACGGAAAGACCCCGUGAACCUUCACUGCAGCUUGGCAUUGGCCGCUGGUCCCGCGUGUAGAGGAUAGGCAGGAGGCAUCGAUCCGGAGGCGCCAGCCCCCGGGGAGCCGCCCUUGGAAUACUGCCCUCGCGCGACCGGCGUCCUAACCCGAGGCCGUCAACCGGCUCGGGGACCGUGCCAGGCGGGCAGUUUGACUGGGGCGGUCGCCUCCUAAAGGGUAACGGAGGCGCGCGAAGGUCCGCUCGGGACGGUCGGCAACCGUCCUUUUGAAUGCAAGAGUACAAGCGGGCUUGACUGCGAGGCCCACAAGCCGAGCAGGUGCGAAAGCAGGCUCUAGUGAUCCGGCGGCCCCGAGUGGGUGGGCCGUCGCUCAACGGAUAAAAGGUACUCCGGGGAUAACAGGCUGAUCUUGCCCAAGAGUCCACAUCGACGGCAAGGUUUGGCACCUCGAUGUCGGCUCAUCGCAUCCUGGGGCUGGAGCAGGUCCCAAGGGUACGGCUGUUCGCCGUUUAAAGCGGUACGCGAGCUGGGUUCAGAACGUCGUGAGACAGUUCGGUCCCUAUCCUCCGUGGGCGCAGGAGAAUCGAUGGAGGCUGCCCCCAGUACGAGAGGACCGGGGUGGACGCACCUCCGGUGAACCGGUUGUCGACCAACGGCACGGCCGGGUAGCCGCGUGCGGCGCGGAUAACCGCUGAAGGCAUCUAAGCGGGAAGCCGUUCCAGGGAUUAGUUCUCCUUCCGGUAAGGGCCCAGGUAGACUACCUGGUCGAUAGACGGCAGGUGCAAGGACGGCGACGUCCUCAGCCGAGCCGCACUAAUCGCCCGAGCUCUUCCGGA